Molecule: long non-coding RNA, 606 nt
Organism: Lolium perenne
Lineage: Eukaryota; Viridiplantae; Streptophyta; Magnoliopsida; Poales; Poaceae
Source: RefSeq, a predicted model, not a curated record
GAACCCUGCCUUCCUCCUCUACGUCCUCGUCUACUUCCCGGAGCCAAACGCGCCAAGAACUGCUCGAGAUCUUCCACGUCUGCAUCGUCUACGUCCCGGCCACCUCGUCUUCCUCGUCGCCGGCGACCUUCUCCGCCGCUUCCUCGUCUCCGACCACCCCAGGCAUUUGCUUCUUCCCGGAUAGGAUCGCGAAGUGGUGUGUGAGAUACGCCAAGUCCUCCGGAUGUUCCUCGGCAAGCUUUAACAGGCAAGCAUUUCCCUUAUACUUCUGCCCCUGCAGAAGUCGCUCACCUAUUUUAUUUUGCCUUCUCCCUCAUGCUAUCCUUAAGUUGCGUUCUUGUCACGUGUCCCUUCCACUUGUUACCUCAAGCAGCCCAUAUUGCCACCACCAACCACCAACCACCUAUGGCUAUUGUUUGGUUAUCGGGUCUGCCUUGCGAGUCGUAGUGCAUGCUAGUGUUGUUUUAUCUCGUUACCGUUAUUGCUAUCUUAUCGGGUUAUCAGUUGGGAAUCAUGACACAUGGUUUAUGGAUAUAUCUGUUGAGGGUAUCAUGGUUACUUGUUAAUAGUUGUUAGCGGAGGCAUCGGUGGGUCAGUUGCUCGUUU